This 95-nucleotide unclassified non-coding RNA is filed under the name Shamshuipovirus HK022. Its description in RNAcentral is "RNA (nun gene and immunity region) from Escherichia virus HK022 (PDB 7XUG, chain R)". The record is from RNAcentral. Lineage: Duplodnaviria; Heunggongvirae; Uroviricota; Caudoviricetes.
AUAGACGAACGGCGCGUCUUUAAACCAUGCGUCGGGAGCGCGGCGGGUUCAGGAUGAACGGCAAUGCUGCUCAUUAGCGAGAAGGCUUUUUUGCU